GCAAGGGACGGCGCAGGGGGCGCGGGAAGUGGUAGGGUGGGAGCGUUGUCCGGAAGUAGUGGGCGUAAGGGGCUCGGAGGCGGUUUGUCACGUUGUGAGUGAAAACUCGGGGCCCAACCCCGGGCCUGCUGCCGAUACGGGCAGACUAGAGGUAUGCAGGGGAGAACGGAAUUCCUGGUGUAGCGGUGAAAUGCGCAGAUAUCAGGAGGAACACCGGUGGCGAAGGCGGUUCUCUGGGCAUUACCUGACGCUGAGGAGCGAAAGUGUGGGGAGCGAACAGGAUUAGAUACCCGGGUAGUC
RNAcentral lists this ribosomal RNA (300 nucleotides) under uncultured Lactobacillus sp. RNAcentral's name for it is "bacterial SSU rRNA". The stretch from base 52 to 300 matches the Rfam family "Bacterial small subunit ribosomal RNA", at positions 547 to 795 of the family's 1533-position model. Lineage: Bacteria; Bacillati; Bacillota; Bacilli; Lactobacillales; Lactobacillaceae. The record is from RNAcentral.